GACGAACGCUGGCGGCGUGCUUAACACAUGCAAGUCGAACGGUAAGGCCCCUUCGGGGGUACACGAGUGGCGCACGGGUGAGUAACACGUGAGCAACCUGCCCUUGACUCUGGAAUAACAGUUGGAAACAGCUGCUAAUACUGGAUAUUCAUCGUCUCCUUCCUGGGGGGUGGUGGAAAGCUCCGGCGGUCAGGGAUGGGCUCGCGGCCUAUCAGCUUGUUGGUGAGGUAAUGGCUCACCAAGGCUUCGACGGGUAGCCGGCCUGAGAGGGCGACCGGCCACACUGGGACUGAGAUACGGCCCAGACCCCUACGGGAGGCAGCAGUGGGGAAUAUUGCACAAUGGGCGCAAGCCUGAUGCAGCAACGCCGCGUGCGGGAUGACGGCCUUCGGGUUGUAAACCGCUUUCAGUAGGGACGAAGGGUGACUGACGGUACCUACAGAAGAAGGACCGGCUAACUACGUG
This 465-nucleotide ribosomal RNA is filed under the name uncultured bacterium. RNAcentral describes it as "partial 16S ribosomal RNA". It matches the Rfam family "Bacterial small subunit ribosomal RNA", at positions 28 to 507 of the family's 1533-position model. The record is from RNAcentral.